GACGAACGCUGGCGGCAUGCCUAACACAUGCAAGUCGAACGAGACCUUCGGGUCUAGGGGCGCACGGGUGCGUACCACGUGGGAACCUGCCCUUAAGUUCGCAAUAACUCCCCGAAGGGGAACCUAAUGCCGGAUAAUGUCUUCGGACCUAAGAUUUAUCGCCUUGGGGUGGGCCCUUGUUGGAUUGGUUGGUUGGUAGGGGAAAAGCCUACCAAGGCGACGAUCCAUAGCUGGUCGGAGAGGAUGACCCGCCACACUGGGACUGAGACACGGCCUAGACCGGUACGGGAGGCAGCAGUGGGGAACAUUGGACGAGGGGCGAAAGCCUGGUACAGCAACGCCGGGUGAGUGAUGCAGGGGGUAGGGUUGUAAAGCUGUCUUACACGGGAUGAGAAUGACAGUACCGGGAGAAUAAGCACCGGCUAACUCCGUG
Molecule: ribosomal RNA, 433 nt
Filed under: uncultured bacterium
Lineage: Bacteria
Description: partial 16S ribosomal RNA
Rfam family: Bacterial small subunit ribosomal RNA
Source: RNAcentral